Long non-coding RNA from Manis pentadactyla (Chinese pangolin), 1291 nucleotides. RefSeq lists it as uncharacterized. The record is from RefSeq and is a predicted model, not a curated record. NCBI's taxonomy places the organism in Eukaryota, Metazoa, Chordata, Mammalia, Pholidota, Manidae. The transcript is spliced from 3 exons.
AAUUCAAAGCACGCGCUUAAUGCCAGGCCAGAGACAUGAACGGUCAGGCCACCGAGAGUGCCAAGAUGAGAUGGGCAGUGCUGGGCAGCCAUCCCAGAAAUCUUCCGAAGCCUGAAUCUUGAAGUGCAAGUUAGUCAAGCAGAGAAAGAGACCUGGAACAGAGAGAACAAAACCUAACAGCAAGAGAACAUGGCCUGUUUGUGGCCCUAGCUGAAGCAGUAAGCACUGCUGCAGAAAUGACCUCCUCCCACUGUUCUGGAGUCUUCGGCUCUAAGGAGGGAUGAAUGGAUGGAUGUGGACAGCACUGUGACUCUGGGCCCAGAAGCCUGCGCUCGAAAGAGCUACAUCACUUCCUGGUCACAGCUGGGACUCAUACGGAUCACUGACUCCUUUUGUAAUUCUCUGGUUGACCUCCCUGCCUCCCCAGUGCCUCUCCCCUGAUGGUUAGGCUCAGUUCCCCAGAGGUCAGUGUGAGGCCGAUGGCAGAGCCAUCUGGCCCCUGAGUCAUGGGAAGUCACCGUUUAAAUCCACUGAUCAUCUGUGUCUAUAAGAGGUCUCUACCUGCAGUCUGAUGUUUCAUUAGACACGUUAUUUUUCUGAAUGUAGUCUCCAACUCAUUAACUCAUUGCACCAUACAAACAAAACUGAAUCAGACACCUAACCCUAGAUAUGCAUUCAAAAAUUAUUACUCUGUGACUCUUCAUAGACUCAUAGUCUUCACAGACUUCAUAGUCCCACCCAGGCUUCCCCCCAGCCCCUGGCUUAUGCGAGUCGUGCACUUAUUUGCUAACUCCAAUAAGUUCUUUCUAGCCUGGUUUUGCAGAGUCCUCCCCCAGCCAGUGUUAGACGCUGCAUAAACAACCUUAUCAUUUGGCAGCGAUUUUUGAAAACAUGCCAGUCCUUUUCUUUGCCCUCCACUCCCCUCAGUCCAUACUGUAUUGAUCCAGUGCCAGCUUCUCUAGCUUUUAUCCAGAGCAUUGUCCUGGAAUACAGUACAAGGAAAAAUACCGCCUGUGAGUCUGCUACACUAUUGGGAUGAUUGGAGUUCAGUGGCUCAUGGAGAUCAUUUCUCUGUCGUAUUAAGUGAAGGCCAAGGUCCACUGUGCUUCCUGCCUCUCCUUGAGAACACCGAGGCCAAUAUCAUUCUCGCCACACAGCUUAAUAUCAGACACCCUGAAAGCAGGUGGGUGUGGUACACAGUAUUUGCUGAACCGCCUGGCAAACAAAUAUUUGCACCUAUGGCCUGCUGCACGGGUCUGAGCUGAGGGCGCUGCCCAGCAAGAGGUACCUC